Molecule: ribosomal RNA, 1426 nt
Filed under: Brevibacterium sp.
Lineage: Bacteria; Bacillati; Actinomycetota; Actinomycetes; Micrococcales; Brevibacteriaceae
Description: bacterial SSU rRNA
Rfam family: Bacterial small subunit ribosomal RNA
Source: RNAcentral
GUGCUAUACAUGCAGUCGAGCGGACUUUUGGAACUUGCUUUUAAGAGUCAGCGGCGGACGGGUGAGUAACACGUGGGCAACCUGCCUGUAAGACUGGGAUAACUUCGGGAAACCGGAGCUAAUACCGGAUACGUUCUUUUCUCGCAUGAGAGAAGAUGGAAAGAUGGUUUCGGCUAUCACUUACAGAUGGGCCCGCGGCGCAWUAGCUAGUUGGUGGGGUAAUGGCCCACCAAGGCGACGAUGCGUAGCCGACCUGAGAGGGUGAUCGGCCACACUGGGACUGAGACACGGCCCAGAYUCCUACGGGAGGCAGCAGUAGGGAAUCUUCCGCAAUGGACGAAAGUCUGACGGAGCAACGCCGCGUGAACGAUGAAGGCUUUCGGGUCGUAAAGUUCUGUUGUUAGGGAAGAACAAGUACCAGAGUAACUGCUGGUACCUUGACGGUACCUAACCAGAAAGCCACGGCUAACUACGUGCCAGCAGCCGCGGUAAUACGUAGGUGGCAAGCGUUGUCCGGAAUUAUUGGGCGUAAAGCGCGCGCAGGUGGUUCUUUAAGUCUGAUGUGAAAGCCCACGGCUCAACCGUGGAGGGUCAUUGGAAACUGGGGAACUUGAGUGCAGAAGAGGAAAGUGGAAUUCCACGUGUAGCGGUGAAAUGCGUAGAGAUGUGGAGGAACACCAGUGGCGAAGGCGACUUUCUGGUCUGUAACUGACACUGAGGCGCGAAAGCGUGGGGAGCGAACAGGAUUAGAUACCCUGGUAGUCCACGCCGUAAACGAUGAGUGCUAAGUGUUAGAGGGUUUCCGCCCUUUAGUGCUGCAGCUAACGCAUUAAGCACUCCGCCUGGGGAGUACGGCCGCAAGGCUGAAACUCAAAGGAAUUGACGGGGGCCCGCACAAGCGGUGGAGCAUGUGGUUUAAUUCGAAGCAACGCGAAGAACCUUACCAGGUCUUGACAUCCUCUGACAACCCUAGAGAUAGGGCUUUCCCCUUCGGGGGACAGAGUGACAGGUGGUGCAUGGUUGUCGUCAGCUCGUGUCGUGAGAUGUUGGGUUAAGUCCCGCAACGAGCGCAACCCUUGAUCUUAGUUGCCAGCAUUCAGUUGGGCACUCUAAGGUGACUGCCGGUGACAAACCGGAGGAAGGUGGGGAUGACGUCAAAUCAUCAKGCCCCUUAUGACCUGGGCUACACACGUGCUACAAUGGAUGGUACAAAGAGCCCGCAAACCCGCGAGGGYAAGCUAAUCUCAUAAAGCCAUUCUCAGUUCGGAUUGCAGGCUGCAACUCGCCUGCAUGAAGCCGGAAUCGCUAGUAAUCGCGGAUCAGCAUGCCGCGGUGAAUACGUUCCCGGGCCUUGUACACACCGCCCGUCACACCACGAGAGUUUGUAACACCCGAAGUCGGUGAGGUAACCUUUGGAGCCAGCCGC